UGCUGGUUUUCUCAUGGCGCAAUUUAUAUUAAUUUUCUGAAAACGAAAUUAGUGAUUUUAAGAAAAUACGUUUACUGUUACGAUAAACUUUCUGUGUUAUAAAGGCCUGUGAAUAAUCGGACAGUAAUCAAGAAAUGUUUUUGCAGCUUGUAGACGGCCACAAAUAAACUUGUAUUUCGUUUGGAAACUGUCGUAUCAAAAUGCUCAGACUACGACCUUUUGUCAUUCAUUUUUCAAAGGAUUCGAUAAACAACACUUUCGACGAGAGUUGUAGUCACAGUGGAGUGUUAAUAGGACAGACAGUGGAUGAUAUUUGCACAGGAAAGACAAACAUAAGCGAUAUUCCAAAAAUCACAGUUGUCAAACUGGAUGGCAAAUGGGUGACUGCCAACAACAGGCUCCUCUGGGUGUUCCUUCAGCUAGAAAAGCUCGGAAAAUGAACUCACAUCGACGUCUAUGAAGGCUUCUCUAUACCUACCGAGAAACUCGCGUCAACAAACGUCGGUGUUACGGCGCACGUGCGCGGUAAUCCGGGUAGCUACUAUCUUAGCCGGUGGAAAUCCAUAUUCAUCGACAAAAACUGGUACCGAAAUGCGUACGGCGGUGCCGCACAGUAGCAAAUCUAGUCGUAUCAAUACCAUCAUCCCUUCGCCUUCCCAGUGAGUACAACCGACAUGUACAUGUCCUAGUAUAAAGAAAGCGAGUAUUCGAAUAACGAUCCUUAAAAGCAUUACUUCAAAUUCGUAUAAAAGAGCGUAUCCGGAACCUCGAGUGAACGACUCGUGGUGUUAAAAAAUAUUUACAAUUCUGUUUAUAAUGUUCAUACUUUUAAUUUUAUGGAAUGUAUUCAUUUAAUUCAAAUGCCGUUUUUCUAUGGUAUUUUAAUGUUCAGCAGUUGCACGUGUACACAAUCCAUUGCUUUCUAUACUCGCUUUAAUGUUACUGAAAUAGUUGUUAGACUAGUAUAAUGACAAUGUUAAAACUUAUUAUGAAUUCUUAUGUACUUGUGCAUGUAAAUAUUCGUUGUAUCGGUACUUGAUGCUAAACUGUAUGUACUUUGUUAAAACAAAUAUCCUGUACGGUAAUAGUAUGUUCUAUUACUAAACCAUGUAACAUUCAUGUAGAUGUUUCAGUGAUGAAAUUGAAUGGAGUAAUUUUCACAUUGCAUAA
Molecule: long non-coding RNA, 1170 nt
Organism: Dreissena polymorpha
Lineage: Eukaryota; Metazoa; Mollusca; Bivalvia; Myida; Dreissenidae
Exons: 2
Source: RefSeq, a predicted model, not a curated record